UACAGAGGGUGCGAGCGUUGUUCGGAAUUAUUGGGCGUAAAGCGCGUGUAGGCGGCUUUGCAAGUCGGGUGUGAAAUCCCUCAGCUCAACUGAGGAAGUGCGCCCGAAACUGCAGAGCUUGAGUACCGGAGAGGAUGGCGGAAUUCCCGAAGUAGAGGUGAAAUUCGUAGAUAUCGGGAGGAAAACCAGUGGCGAAGGCGACUUCCUGGCCUGUUCUUGACGCUGAGGCGCGAAAGCUAGGGGAGCAAACGGG
Molecule: ribosomal RNA, 253 nt
Filed under: uncultured bacterium
Lineage: Bacteria
Description: partial 16S ribosomal RNA
Rfam family: Bacterial small subunit ribosomal RNA
Source: RNAcentral